This 404-nucleotide ribosomal RNA is filed under the name uncultured bacterium. Its description in RNAcentral is "bacterial SSU rRNA". It matches the Rfam family "Bacterial small subunit ribosomal RNA", at positions 355 to 776 of the family's 1533-position model. The record is from RNAcentral.
UAGGGAAUAUUGGACAAUGGGCGAAAGCCUGAUCCAGCCAUGCCGCGUGAGUGAAGAAGGCCUUAGGGUUGUAAAGCUCUUUUAGUGGGGAAGAUAAUGACUGUACCCACAGAAAAAGCCCCGGCUAACUUCGUGCCAGCAGCCGCGGUAAUACGAAGGGGGCUAGCGUUGUUCGGAAUCACUGGGCGUAAAGCGGGUGUAGGUGGAUGUUUAAGUGAGGGGUGAAAGCCCAAGGCUCAACCUUGGAACGGCCUCUCAUACUGAGCAUCUAGAGUCUGGAAGGGGGAAAUGGAAUUCCGAGUGUAGAGGUGAAAUUCGUAGAUAUUCGGAGGAACACCAGUGGCGAAGGCGAUUUCCUGGUACAUGACUGACACUCAGACCCGAAAGUGUGGGGAUCAAACAGG